Molecule: ribosomal RNA, 324 nt
Filed under: Triticum aestivum (bread wheat)
Lineage: Eukaryota; Viridiplantae; Streptophyta; Magnoliopsida; Poales; Poaceae
Description: partial small subunit ribosomal RNA
Source: RNAcentral
AUGGCCACGGCGUUCAAGGCGUUCUUGAACAGCCCCGUCGGCCCCAGGACCACGCACUUCUGGGGACCCGUCAGCAACUGGGGCUUCAUCCUCGCGGGUAUGGCUGACAUGAACAAGCCACCUGAAUUGAUAUCCGGCCAUAUGACUGCAGUCAUGUGUGUGUAUUCUGGCCUAUUUAUGAGGUUCGCAUGGGUGGUACGGCCCCGGAACUAUUUUCUUAUGGCAACCCAUGCCUCCAACGAAAGCGUUCAGCUCUACCAGUUAUCUCGCUAUGCUAGGGCUCAAGGUUACCUGGAGAAGAAAGAGCCUGAAGCCCAACAGUAA